CCGCGGCCGUAUUCUCGAUAUUGCGCCUGGAUCCCGCUGCUCCAGGCCAUCCACUGUCCCGUCGUCAAUGCCUUCUCUCACCAAGCGCCUCCACAUCCCUCCUCUACAUUCUUGGUGGCGCAAGCCGGCCCCUCGCUUCGGUGCUGGCUCUCUUUGAACGGAUCGGAUACAUGUGCGGUGGUUCCCCCGUGAGCGAUCUUGAACUUUGUCGCCUUUUGGAAAUGGAAUCCAGCAACUAGACGGCAAUAAUCAAGCAGCAGCUCACCUCCAUAGCCUACAGUGGCAGCAAGGUUUGUUGAUCCACUAAUAGACGGCAGUACCCACAAAUAAUGCAAGACCUUGUGAAAGAGAUGUUGCCCAGGUUCACUCCUGGUCAAGCUAAAGUGGUCAAGGAACAGAACUAACUAAACAAAGGGACGGAAAUUGAUGCAACAGACACUGACUAGCUACUCAGUCGAUUUGCGGGUCACUUGUGCAUGUGAAUUUCCUGUCUUAAGCUGCAGGUUUUACAUCAAUGUCAAUUUGCGGGUUACUUGCGGGUUACUUGCGGGUUACUUGCGCAGGUUUUACAUAUAUAAACACUUUGCAGUUGAGCGAAAUGGCAAACCGAUUGGACCAAGGGUGAAUUCUAAAUGGCUUUAUAUCGUCCUGAGGGGGAUGUAUUGAUGUGUGCACUACAUUAGUCAGAGGGAACCUCACCCGCAAACACUACUUGCGGGAUGCCACAAGGGUUCGGUACUACCGGAGUUACCUCAGCGAGCUGAAGAAAGCCAUGAAUGGUGGCACCAAUGUUCUUGGCUACUUUGCAUGGUCUCUCCUGUACAACUUCGACUAGAACGGCACCCCUCACAUUCCUCUAUAUUACCUCUCCCAAAAAUAACCUCCAAUGUUAGGUCGCUGGACUUGAGCGAAAAGGUUAAAUUACCUCUUUCCACGUGAGAUGACACGAAAUCACAAAUGAAGAUAAGUACAAUGCAUGCAAUGCACUUAUAUCUUUGAGAAUUCUGAAACGGCAAGGAGUCUAUUAGUCUGUACAAUGCUUAGUAGCUUAUUAGUUUAUAUGUAUUGAAGCUAAUGGGUGUCACCAAUUCAAGGGGGGCUGAACUUUGAUCAUGUUGCUGUUAGAUAAUGUUUCCAGACCAUAUGCCAGCUCAAGGAUGCCUGUUUCAGAGAAUGUGAAAACAUCCACUUGUUCAGUUCCAUUGAGCUUGAAACAACCACAAUGGUUUUAUUUUCUUGUUUCGGUUGUAGCUUCAAUCUCUGUGGUUUUAUUAAUGAAAGUGAGGAGGAAUCUGUUACAAAA
Molecule: long non-coding RNA, 1303 nt
Organism: Triticum aestivum (bread wheat)
Lineage: Eukaryota; Viridiplantae; Streptophyta; Magnoliopsida; Poales; Poaceae
Exons: 5
Source: RefSeq, a predicted model, not a curated record